UGGGGAAUAUUGCACAAUGGGCGCAAGCCUGAUGCAGCCAUGCCGCGUGUAUGAAGAAGGCCUUCGGGUUGUAAAGUACUUUCAGCGGGGAGGAAGGCGAUAAGGUUAAUAACCUUGUCGGUUGACGUUACCCGCAGAAGAAGCACCGGCUAACUCCGUGCCAGCAGCCGCGGUAAUACGGAGGGUGCAAGCGUUAAUCGGAAUUACUGGGCGUAAAGCGCACGCAGGCGGUCUGUCAAGUCGGGUGUGAAAUCCCCGGGCUCAACCUGGGAACUGCAUUCGAAACUGGCAGGCUAGAGUCUUGUAGAGGGGGGUAGAAUUCCAGGUGUAGCGGUGAAAUGCGUAGAGAUCUGGAGGAAUACCGGUGGCGAAGGCGGCCCCCUGGACAAAGACUGACGCUCAGGUGCGAAAGCGUGGGGAGCAAACA
This 427-nucleotide ribosomal RNA is filed under the name uncultured bacterium. Its description in RNAcentral is "partial 16S ribosomal RNA". It matches the Rfam family "Bacterial small subunit ribosomal RNA", at positions 355 to 774 of the family's 1533-position model. The record is from RNAcentral.